UUUUUUUUUUUUUUUUUUUUUUGCAGAGAAUGCCGGGAAGAAACCUCUUUUUCCAGGAGGACUGCUGGGGGUCUGGGUAGGGAGAGUUUGGUUCCUGAGUGGGAGUCGCGACCUCCAGCUGCCCCCAGACCUGAGAAAAGGAGGCACAACUGCAGCUCGGAACCCAAGACACACCUUUAAAAUACACUGCCAAAAUUAAUGACCUCAUAUUGUAGGACAAAGGAACUAAACAAAACAAAACAAAAGAAAACCCACAAGAUUUGGGGGCCGGUUUACUUCAACUAGCACUUAGUGACACGUAGAGGAGAGGUGCUUUGACUGCUGCUUGGAAUUCCCCCACUUAUUUGUAAUGUUUGAAGUGAGAAUGGUUUGAAGUGCAGAAUGGUAUCUACCAGAACUGAGGAUUCCGUGAGGACUAAACUUUCUGUCAAUAUUUUCCCAAUCUUGACUGCCACAACGACUCCCAGGAUGUCUCAUGCCUCAGACUCAAAAUGGAGCCCUGCCUGGCACCCAAGUUAGAAAUUGAGCAGGUACUCAGCGUCCUCAAGAGAAGGGACUAUCAAGAGUCUAACACCACUAGCCCUGGUUUUUGACUCUCUCACCUGCAGCAAGCUAGGGCCAAGAGCUGCUUGCUUAGGCUGCAGCAGUUCAUCGGCUAGCCACCCCACCCCUACUGCUAAGGCUCCUGACCUUGUAGAUGAUGGAAUUCCCAGGAAAGUGUCAUCGGAAUAUUCACACCCUGAAGAAUGGAGAUAGAACAGAGAGAAAUUCAUGGACAGAAAUUGGUGUCUUGGUUGUUUGUAGAUAAAGAAAAUCCCGAAGGUUUCCAUAGUUUAAACUCAGAAAAAACAAUCUGUCUGUGCCCAAUAGAUGUGUGUGGAAGUGGGGUGAAGCUGACUUAAAUAUCUGUCCUGACAGAUCCCUGAACUACUGAGCUGAAGAUUUCUAUGACUAAUGAACUUUGCUUUGUGCUUUACAAUUUUCAUGGAACUAUCAGAAACUAUACCCACUUAAAUACUUGACCAGUUUUGUACUUCACAAAUUGUGGUAUAUCCAAAGCACUCAUUUGCUUCACCUCAGCUUUUGUGGCACUCCAUUUAGACAAUUCCAGAGACCCCAAAAGUUUGCACAAGACAAAUCAUGUUCCCACUCCCAACCCACCAUCUCUCUCUUAAUUCUCACUUGUUUGUGGCUUUCUAUGUUGGGCAGUAUCAAUGGAAAGGAACUUGGGCAUUGGGUGGCUAACAUUCCUGCCCACCAGAGCUGGGGUCCCGGCGUUAAUUGUCCCAAUAAAUUGAGAUAUACUGUGCAUAAUGCAAUGGAGCAAUAUGGUUAUAGUCCACAUGUAUGACUUAAUUAAGCUAUUUGCAACUUGAUGUUGCAAGUCAACGGGUGUGCAAAUGGAUUAACAAUUGUUGGCUUCCUUAUCCUCAGAAUGGUGCAUAAUUACUUUACUAGUGGUACAUAUCAAUUUUUGAUGAUUGUGGAAGCCAUGUCCCCUGC
Molecule: long non-coding RNA, 1503 nt
Filed under: Macaca fascicularis (crab-eating macaque)
Lineage: Eukaryota; Metazoa; Chordata; Mammalia; Primates; Cercopithecidae
Description: lncRNA (ENSMFAG00000057709.1)
Source: RNAcentral